GCGGGCAUAGCUCAGCGGUAGAGCAUCUCCUUGCCAAGGAGAAGGUCGCGGGUUCGAAUCUCGUUGCCCGCUCCA
This 75-nucleotide transfer RNA is filed under the name bacterium. Its description in RNAcentral is "tRNA-Gly". It matches the Rfam family "tRNA". Rfam says of the family: Transfer RNA (tRNA) molecules are approximately 80 nucleotides in length. Their secondary structure includes four short double-helical elements and three loops (D, anti-codon, and T loops). Further hydrogen bonds mediate the characteristic L-shaped molecular structure. tRNAs have two regions of fundamental functional importance: the anti-codon, which is responsible for specific mRNA codon recognition, and the 3' end, to which the tRNAs corresponding amino acid is attached (by aminoacyl-tRNA synthetases). tRNAs cope with the degeneracy of the genetic code in two manners: having more than one tRNA (with a specific anti-codon) for a particular amino acid; and 'wobble' base-pairing, i.e. permitting non-standard base-pairing at the 3rd anti-codon position. The record is from RNAcentral.